RNAcentral lists this transfer RNA (74 nucleotides) under Mycobacterium phage ScoobyDoobyDoo. RNAcentral describes it as "tRNA-Arg". It matches the Rfam family "tRNA". Rfam says of the family: Transfer RNA (tRNA) molecules are approximately 80 nucleotides in length. Their secondary structure includes four short double-helical elements and three loops (D, anti-codon, and T loops). Further hydrogen bonds mediate the characteristic L-shaped molecular structure. tRNAs have two regions of fundamental functional importance: the anti-codon, which is responsible for specific mRNA codon recognition, and the 3' end, to which the tRNAs corresponding amino acid is attached (by aminoacyl-tRNA synthetases). tRNAs cope with the degeneracy of the genetic code in two manners: having more than one tRNA (with a specific anti-codon) for a particular amino acid; and 'wobble' base-pairing, i.e. permitting non-standard base-pairing at the 3rd anti-codon position. The record is from RNAcentral. Lineage: Duplodnaviria; Heunggongvirae; Uroviricota; Caudoviricetes.
ACCCCUGUAGCUCAACGGACAGAGCAGCGGCCUUCUAAACCGCCAGGUAGGAGUUCGAAUCUCCUCAGGGGUAC